UUUGCUACGAGUUGUGUUAAGCUAAAAUAAUUUGUGUUAUAUAUUUUGCAAUUUGUUUAAACAAUUAAAAAUAAUUCUAAACUCUGAUGACUUCCAUCUUCAUCAGUACAAAGAGGGUAAUAUUAGACAACUUUACAAAAGCUAGGUCAUGGAACAAAACAUUGCUUUCCCAGUAAUUCCAUAAGGUAUCCAAGUAUUCAAUUGCAUGCCCCGAAUUUCACAGACGUCCUACAUUAGGAUCCAUCAGGAAUGAAGAUAUUUGUGCCAAUACAUGGUGUUAUCUUAUCAAGGAAGAGGGAAUGGUCUAACUACGUGGAAUGAUUGGAUGAUGGUUAUGCUGAGAUGGAUUUCGAAUAAGUUCAUUGGAACCUGAGUUUGACUGUCUUUCAUUCAAGGGAAGAAAAUGGGUCAUCCUAUGAGUCUGUGCCGAGCGAUUUCAUUUCUACUUUUUAAUUUUUAUAACAAUCUGUAAAAAAGUGGGUUUAUUGAGCUGAAGUUUUGAUUUGUAAUGUGUCAAUUUUGUAUUACCUAUUUUAGUUCAUGCUUUCCUUUUGGGCGGCUAAGU
Molecule: long non-coding RNA, 565 nt
Organism: Agrilus planipennis (emerald ash borer)
Lineage: Eukaryota; Metazoa; Arthropoda; Insecta; Coleoptera; Buprestidae
Exons: 4
Source: RefSeq, a predicted model, not a curated record